GUCUCGUUAGCUCAGUUGGUAGAGCAACUGGCUUUUAACCAGUGGGUCACAAGUUCAAAUCUUGUACGGGACACCA
Molecule: transfer RNA, 76 nt
Filed under: Spiroplasma sp. TIUS-1
Lineage: Bacteria; Bacillati; Mycoplasmatota; Mollicutes; Entomoplasmatales; Spiroplasmataceae
Description: tRNA-Lys
Rfam family: tRNA
About the family: Transfer RNA (tRNA) molecules are approximately 80 nucleotides in length. Their secondary structure includes four short double-helical elements and three loops (D, anti-codon, and T loops).
Source: RNAcentral